Molecule: ribosomal RNA, 603 nt
Filed under: uncultured fungus
Lineage: Eukaryota; Fungi
Description: eukaryotic LSU rRNA
Rfam family: 5.8S ribosomal RNA (bases 131-284)
Source: RNAcentral
CUUUGUAUACCUUACCUUUUGUUGCUUUGGCGGGCCGCCUAACGACUGGCUUCGGCUGGUAAGUGCCCGCCAGAGGACCCAAACCCAAACCCAGUUAUAGUGUCGUCUGAGAAAAAAGUUUAAUAUUUAAAACUUUCAGCAACGGAUCUCUUGGCUCUGGCAUCGAUGAAUAACGCAGCGAAAUGCGAUAAGUAAUAUGAAUUGAAGAAUUCAGUGAAUCAUCAAAUCUUUGAACGCACAUUGAGCCCCUUGGUAUUCCGAGGGGCAUGCCUAUUCUAGCGUCAUUAUCACCCCUCAAGCUCCGGCUUGGUGUUGAGGCCUGCUGUAAAGGCACCCUCUAGAAUCACUGGCAGUGCCGUCAAGCUCUAAGCGUAUGAAUUUCAUCGCUAUAGACCCGAGCGGACCCUCGCCAGAAACCCCCCAUUUUUUAAUGAUUGACCUCAGAUUAUGUAGGGAUACCCGCUGAACUUAAGCAUAUCAAUAAGCGGAGGAAUUCGCUGGAGCUCACAAACGUCUCUCCUCGGCGAGGACGGCUUUUCGAACGUUUGAUCUCAAAUCAGGUAGGACUACCCGCUGAACUUAAGCAUAUCAAUAAGCGGAGGA